GAUGAACGCUGGCUGCGUGCCUAAUACAUGCAAGUCGAGCGAACAGAUAAGGAGCUUGCUCCUUUGACGUUAGCGGCGGACGGGUGAGUAACACGUGGGUAACCUACCUAUAAGACUGGGAUAACUUCGGGAAACCGGAGCUAAUACCGGAUAAUAUUUCGAACCGCAUGGUUCGAUAGUGAAAGAUGGUUUUGCUAUCACUUAUAGAUGGACCCGCGCCGUAUUAGCUAGUUGGUAAGGUAACGGCUUACCAAGGCGACGAUACGUAGCCGACCUGAGAGGGUGAUCGGCCACACUGGAACUGAGACACGGUCCAGACUCCUACGGGAGGCAGCAGUAGGGAAUCUUCCGCAAUGGGCGAAAGCCUGACGGAGCAACGCCGCGUGAGUGAUGAAGGUCUUCGGAUCGUAAAACUCUGUUAUUAGGGAAGAACAUACGUGUAAGUAACUGUGCACGUCUUGACGGUACCUAAUCAGAAAGCCACGGCUAACUACGUGCCAGCAGCCGCGGUAAUACGUAGGUGGCAAGCGUUAUCCGGAAUUAUUGGGCGUAAAGCGCGCGUAGGCGGUUUUUUAAGUCUGAUGUGAAAGCCCACGGCUCAACCGUAGAGGGUCAUUGGAAACUGGAAAACUUGAGUGCAGAAGAGGAAAGUGGAAUUCCAUGUGUAGCGGUGAAAUGCGCAGAGAUAUGGAGGAACACCAGUGGGCGAAGGCGACUUUCUGGUCUGUAACUGACGCUGAUGUGCGAAAGCGUGGGGAUCAAACAGGAUUAGAUACCCUGGUAGUCCACGCCGUAAACGAUGAGUGCUAAGUGUUAGGGGGUUUCCGCCCCUUAGUGCUGCAGCUAACGCAUUAAGCACUCCGCCUGGGGAGUACGACCGCAAGGUUGAAACUCAAAGGAAUUGACGGGGACCCGCACAAGCGGUGGAGCAUGUGGUUUAAUUCGAAGCAACGCGAAGAACCUUACCAAAUCUUGACAUCCUUUGACAACUCUAGAGAUAGAGCUUUCCCCUUCGGGGGACAAAGUGACAGGUGGUGCAUGGUUGUCGUCAGCUCGUGUCGUGAGAUGUUGGGUUAAGUCCCGCAACGAGCGCAAUCCUUAAGCUUAGUUGCCAUCAUUAAGUUGGGCACUCUAAGUUGACUGCCGGUGACAAACCGGAGGAAGGUGGGGAUGACGUCAAACCAUCAUGCCCCUUAUGAUUUGGGCUACACACGUGCUACAAUGGACAAUACAAAGGGCAGCGAAACCGCGAGGUCAAGCAAAUCCCAUGAAGUUGUUCUCAGUUCGGAUUGUAGUCUGCAACUCGACUACAUGAAGCUGGAAUCGCUAGUAAUCGUAGAUCAGCAUGCUACGGUGAAUACGUUCCCGGGUCU
RNAcentral lists this ribosomal RNA (1373 nucleotides) under uncultured bacterium. RNAcentral describes it as "bacterial SSU rRNA". It matches the Rfam family "Bacterial small subunit ribosomal RNA", at positions 28 to 1381 of the family's 1533-position model. The record is from RNAcentral.